RNAcentral lists this ribosomal RNA (609 nucleotides) under Triticum aestivum (bread wheat). RNAcentral describes it as "partial small subunit ribosomal RNA". Lineage: Eukaryota; Viridiplantae; Streptophyta; Magnoliopsida; Poales; Poaceae. The record is from RNAcentral.
AUGGCCACGCAAGAGCAGCCGUCGCCGGGCGCCGGCGCCGCCCGGCCUCGGAGGCCCCGCGUCCUGGUCGCCGCCUCCGGCAGCGUGGCGGCGAUCAAGUUCGAGAUCCUCUGCCGGAGCCUCGCCGAGUGGGCCGACGUCCGGGCGGUGGCGACGGCCUCGUCCCUGCACUUCAUCGACAGGGAGUCCUUCCCGAGCGGCGUCGCCCUCCUCACCGACGCCGACGAGUGGUCCACCUGGCGGAGGAUCGGCGACGAGGUCCUGCACAUCGAGCUGCGCAAGUGGGCCGACGCCAUGCUCAUCGCGCCGCUCUCGGCCAACACCCUGGCCAAGAUCGCCGGCGGGCUGUGCGACAACCUCCUGACGUGCGUGGUGCGCGCGUGGGACUACAGCAAGCCCAUCUACGUCGCGCGGGCCAUGAACACCUUCAUGUGGGACAACCCCUUCACUAGGCGACACCUUGACGUCGUCGCCGGCCUCGGCGUCUCCCUCAUCCCUCCGGUGACCAAGCGGCUCGCCUGCGGGGACUACGGCAACGGCGCCAUGGCAGAGCCCGCCGAGAUCUGCAGGACCCUCAGGCUCUUCUUCGGCUCACAAGUUCCACUCUGA